GCGUGCCUUACCUACGCAGCUCUAGCUACCAUGCAGUCGAGGGGCAGCAUGGUCUUAGCUUGCUAAGGCCGAUGGCGACCGGCGCACGGGUGAGUAACACGUAUCCAACCUGCCGUCUACUCUUGGACAGCCUUCUGAAAGGAAGAUUAAUACAAGAUGGCAUCAUGAGUCCGCAUGUUCACAUGAUUAAAGGUAUUCCGGUAGACGAUGGGGAUGCGUUCCAUUAGAUAGUAGGCGGGGUAACGGCCCACCUAGUCUUCGAUGGAUAGGGGUUCUGAGAGGAAGGUCCCCCACAUUGGAACUGAGACACGGUCCAAACUCCUACGGGAGGCAGCAGUGAGGAAUAUUGGUCAAUGGGCGAGAGCCUGAACCAGCCAAGUAGCGUGAAGGAUGACUGCCCUAUGGGUUGUAAACUUCUUUUAUAAAGGAAUAAAGUCGGGUAUGGAUACCCGUUUGCAUGUACUUUAUGAAUAAGGAUCGGCUAACUCCGUGCCAGCACCGACGGUAAUAA
RNAcentral lists this ribosomal RNA (511 nucleotides) under bacterium 2-9. Its description in RNAcentral is "bacterial SSU rRNA". It matches the Rfam family "Bacterial small subunit ribosomal RNA", at positions 39 to 526 of the family's 1533-position model. The record is from RNAcentral.